Molecule: long non-coding RNA, 296 nt
Filed under: Struthio camelus australis
Lineage: Eukaryota; Metazoa; Chordata; Aves; Struthioniformes; Struthionidae
Description: lncRNA (ENSSCUG00000013293.1)
Source: RNAcentral
UUUGUGAUUCUGCAGGGUGGAAAGAGUCAAAAACCUUCGGCAUGACUGGGCCAGGCGUCCUGACUGGGCCAGGCAUCAGUAUGACAAAAACGUAUCUCCAGGCCCAUGCAGACGCAGACUUGGAGUGCUGCAGACAUGCAGGUCUCUAGACUUCAUCCAGAGGGAACUUUCCUCGAACAGACUGAAAUAUUUUGAAGCAGGCACAGAGACAUUUGAAUGCGGAUGAACCAAACUAGGUAACUAGUUCUACAAUAUGACUGACUCUUAUCUGUGCUGAUAUCGCUAAAACAGCAAGA